This 31-nucleotide non-coding RNA is filed under the name Rattus norvegicus (Norway rat). Lineage: Eukaryota; Metazoa; Chordata; Mammalia; Rodentia; Muridae. The record is from RNAcentral.
UUUCUCUUGAAUUCUGUGGGUGCUUAUAGGU